This 268-nucleotide ribosomal RNA is filed under the name uncultured microorganism. RNAcentral describes it as "partial 16S ribosomal RNA". It matches the Rfam family "Bacterial small subunit ribosomal RNA", at positions 9 to 253 of the family's 1533-position model. The record is from RNAcentral.
GAGUUUGAUCGUGGCUUACAGGACGAACGCUGGCGGCGUGCUUAACACAUGCAAGUCGAACGAGAAUCUAACUGAAAGAGUUUUCGGAACAAUGGAAGUAGAGGAAAGUCGGCGGACGGGUGAGUAACGCGUGAGGAACCUGCCUUGAAGAGGGGACAACAGUUGGAAACGACUAGCUAAUACCGCAUGAUGCAUAAGGGUCGCAUGAUUCUUAUGCCAAAGAUUUAUCGCUUCAAGUAUGGCCUCGACGUCUGAUUAGCUAGUUGGC